CAGUAGCCACGGUAAUACGUAGGGUCCGAGCGUUGUCCGGAAUUAUUGGGCGUAAAGAGCUCGUAGGCGGUCUGUCGCGUCUGCCGUGAAAUCCUCAGGCUCAACCUGAGGCGUGCGGUGGGUACGGGCAGGCUAGAGUGCGGUAGGGGAGAAUGGAACUCCUGGUGUAGCGGUGGAAUGCGCAGAUAUCAGGAAGAACACCGAUGGCGAAGGCAGUUCUCUGGGCCGUAACUGACGCUGAGGAGCGAAAGCGUGGGGAGCGAACAGGAUUAGAUACCCUGUAGUCCCUGUCUCUUAUACA
This 301-nucleotide ribosomal RNA is filed under the name uncultured bacterium. RNAcentral's name for it is "partial 16S ribosomal RNA". It matches the Rfam family "Bacterial small subunit ribosomal RNA", at positions 509 to 808 of the family's 1533-position model. The record is from RNAcentral.